RNAcentral lists this ribosomal RNA (536 nucleotides) under uncultured archaeon. Its description in RNAcentral is "bacterial SSU rRNA". It matches the Rfam family "Archaeal small subunit ribosomal RNA", at positions 463 to 997 of the family's 1478-position model. The record is from RNAcentral.
AGCUGCGGUAACACCGGCGGCCCGAGUGGUGAUCGUGAUUAUUGGGUCUAAAGGGUCCGUAGCCGGUUUGGUCAGUCCUCCGGGAAAUCUGAUAGCUCAACUAUUAGGCUUUCGGGGGAUACUGCCAGACUUGGAACCGGGAGAGGUAAGAGGUACUACAGGGGUAGGAGUGAAAUCUUGUAAUCCCUGUGGGACCACCUGUGGCGAAGGCGUCUUACCAGAACGGGUUCGACGGUGAGGGACGAAAGCUGGGGGCACGAACCGGAUUAGAUACCCGGGUAGUCCCAGCCGUAAACGAUGCUCGCUAGGUGUCAGGCAUGGCGCGACCGUGUCUGGUGCCGCAGGGAAGCCGUGAAGCGAGCCACCUGGGAAGUACGGCCGCAAGGCUGAAACUUAAAGGAAUUGGCGGGGGAGCACAACAACGGGUGGAGCCCUGCGGUUUAAUUGGACUCAACGCCGGACAACUCACCGGGGGCGACAGCAAUAUGUAGGCCAAGCUGAAGACUUUGCCUGAAUCGCUGAGAAGAGGUGCAUGG